This is a long non-coding RNA of Cylas formicarius (sweet potato weevil), 7651 nucleotides long. RefSeq lists it as uncharacterized. The record is from RefSeq and is a predicted model, not a curated record. The transcript is spliced from 5 exons. NCBI's taxonomy places the organism in Eukaryota, Metazoa, Arthropoda, Insecta, Coleoptera, Brentidae.
CCAAUCUAAGCCAGAGAACACCUGUGUUUUAUUUAAAACAUGUAUGAUUUUGUUUCAUUGUUAUUCUUUUCAGGUGUCCUAAUUUUCUUGGGUGAAAUUGUGCCAUUCAAUUUCACAGUCUUGAUUGACUGGUGUAAUGCUAAAUAGACAAAUAAACUUACUUUUAUCCUUACAGGUUAUAGAUUAUGCACAGAUGAUAAAAGGGAAUAUUGACAGGGGAGAAUCGCCUACCUAGGUUGGGUUAGAAGAUGCGAGGUACUUCUGAAAACAUGCCAUCUUUUACCAUCUCUGAUCACUUCCUGUUUAUGGCGAUAAAAAAACUUUAAAUGCAAAUACUUAAAAAACUGGAAAACACUUUUUCUAGUUGAAUAUAUUAGUUAUCAUGUUUCGAAUUCUAUAAUAUUUUUACAAGAACAGGAGUCUAAAAGUGAUUAAGUGCUAUAUCGAGAGUAAUAAAAAUAAAGAUGGAGAUUUACGCUUAUAUUUUCAGCUUUAUUGGGAACAACGACGGGCAUAAAGGCAAAUAUUUCAAAGAUUAUGUCAUAUGUUGAAUUAAGAACUUUCUUCUCAAAGGCUUCCAUAGCUGUUCCCGACGUUUGCUCCAAAAUAUUCCAAACAAGCAUUUUUCGAUUAAGUUUCAGGAAUAGGACCUUGGAGUCGUGGGGGGUGACAGAUUUUUUCAUGGAGUAUGAUAGAUAAGAAGCCUUAAUAACAUAUUGCGAUCCAUAGAUGACUUAGGAUCUUUUUUAUGUUGACGAUAUGAUCUGUCUAAGAAUAUCUUGAAUCUUUUCCUGAUUCAUUUGUGUUCAUGACCACCGUAGCAUUUCCUUUAUCUGCUUUUAAGAUUACGAUGUCUGGAUUAGAUUUUAGAGAUUUUAGAGCAAUGCGUUCAGGCUUUGCAAUAUUAGAUUUAGGAGGUUUUCAUUUUUUAAGGAUUUGAGAUAGCAGUUUGUUUAGGAUAUCUUGACAUUUGAUACAUUCUUGCAUGUAAUCAACUUUUCUAUCAACAAAAAAUCCGAGAGAAAUCUAUAAGCAACCUAACAAUCUUAACCGCGACUCAGGUCUCUACCUGUCCCCAAUAUGGGAAUCAGUCACGCGAGACGGUGUUUAUGCCCCUCACUUACUUCCGCUCGCCUCGGACAAUAUAAAAGUAAGUACAGAGUAAAAUACGAGCCAGUUUCAGUCAAGCUCUGAAGAAGUCAACAAGAUAAUUGCCGAAACAGCAAGUUCGACUAAGCAAAAACCGACGGAGGAGGAAUCCAGAAGUUUUAUAAAAAGUAAAAUAAAGACUUCCAUAAUAAAAAGUGAUAUGAUAUAUAUGAUGUGAUGAAAUGUGCGAGACGCUAGGGGCUUAAAUGCAUUGCAAGACACGGUCCCCUAGCGCCUAUCUUUAAAUGCAUAUCACUAUGAAUUAUGAAUGAAGUGUGACCCGACGGUGAGAACUAACAAACGUCGAAACUGAGUGUCCCUAAAUUAGCAAAGUACCGUAAAUGUUGGUUGCGGCAGAAGGGUUAUUGGUAAAAAUAUAAUUGAAAUUGUUAAAUUAUGAUUUUAUAUCUUAAGAGUGAAGUUAGCAAUGCCUAUUUUGUAUUCUGUGCCUUUUGGUUGUGGUCUGUGUUUUGUUUUGACCAGAAACUAAGAAGAAGAACGAUAGAACUGUGGUGGUGCACAUGUUUGUAAGAUUCAGUUAGAAGAAUUCCGUUUCAUCAUUUCAACAGAAAUAACAUCUUUUGAUUUAAUUCGAUUCGGUCCUAAAAUUUAAAUUUUAGUUUCAGCGCCCUCUAGCGCGUACUGCCUACUAAACUUUAAUGAGAACUAGUUCUUAUUAACCAACCUUCUCUCACCACUUUAUUUUAGCAGAUAGGGCAAAAUGGUUUAAACAGAAAGAAACCAAAUUUCUCUUACAGCUCUUGAAUAGAUUUUGUAAAAAUCUUUAAAUCUCUUACUCCACACAGAAGUUGAGUAGUCUAGCUGCCAUUUUUUCCAGCAGUUGACACGGCUGUUUCCGGAUGGCCACUCUUAUCACCAUCAAAUUAUCUCUAGCAAAAAUCAAGUUUAGAAUUUUUUUAGCACUUUAAUUGCCUUGCAAAUGAAAACUUCCCUAUUGGUUUGGCAACAAACCGUUAUUUAGCGCCCAUCUUAGAAAAGGGCUUUAUGUAUUCCUUACUAUAUUAAAAACUGUAGAAAACAGUAGGGCAGUAAUUAGUCUUCCGUUAUUAGGUAACAUCACUUUUGAAUGCUUCAUCGCGAAUAUCCAGAAAACUGUUACACCAUGUGUUGUACAAAUGAUGUUUAGAAUUAAUCACUGAAUAAAAAUAUCAAGAUCUUUAAGUAUAUGUCACAUCAAAAUAGGCUUAUCCAUCUUCUAGGUACAUAUGCACCUUUCCGAAUUCUUUUUUUUUGCCCGCUGUUUUCAUGAUCAUCUGACCACGCGUUUAAAGAUAGAUACUAUAUAAAGUUAUCAAGUGUUUACACCAAUGACAUUAUGGUUAUUAUACAAAAUUUGGGGUUUUUACAGCAGUUUACGUAUUUAGUAAAUGGACUCAUGGAUACCAAAAUUGCAAGUUGGCACAACCAUCUAGUUUUUUUAUAUAAUUUUUCGUCCCUUGUUACCAAAUAUUCAAUUAUUACUUUUUAGACCGUGUUCCUUCUUUCCGUUCAUUCUGCUAGCAACUUGUGCUUAUUUUUGGUCACUGAUUUUCAAAAAAAUUAUAAUGACUCAUUGACAAGUUUCAAUUAAUUGUUAAACCUAAUUAAUAUUGUCGAUUCUAACAUGAUUAACUGAUAUGUUAGUAUUAAAUUAUAUUUUCCUUUACCCAAUGGAAAAAAACUAAUUCUUUCUUCAAUUUUCUAUUUCGCAAAGAACUAGAUUGGAUUUCUGCCAUAAAUUCCGCCCUCUGGUAGCCUCAGACUGAAGUAUCUAGCUCGAAACUUCUCGCAGUAGUGCAUAGAUGGCGACAGGUAUAUUUGAAGGCGCUUUUAUUAAACUUUUUAAAUAGUAGCAAACUUGUCCAGGUUGCAACCAACGUCAACGUUUCAAUGACAUACAUAAAAUAUGUUUAAAUAAUAUUAACCAGUCGUAAUCGCUUUUAAACCGGAGAUAUAGUGCGGUAUGGAGGUAUUAUUGUGCGACAAACAAAACCCAUAGACGUAGGAACAUAUAUCGGACCGGUUUAUUGGCCGACUCUUCUCUUUUAGAGGUUGAGACGAGUUUUUUUCGUUAAAUACAGUUUGCAGAAACACAACAUGCAAUUUAAAACGAUUUCGUUGUACCAUGACCCGAUUUUGAGUGCACCGCUUAUACUAACCGAACUAAAAACAUCGCGCCAAAAUAUAGCCGAAAAGUCGUAUGCAUUCUUGGAUUUGCAUUUCCGAAGGCCACGGCCUUUGGCUGAAUAAGCUGCGUCUAUGCGGAACUGCGACGGUGCACGAUGUGCGUUUCGUUAAAUUUUAUUUAUCUGGCGGAAUAAUGGGCUUACCCCGACCUAGAUCUUUUUUUCAUUUAGAGUGUCAAAUAAGGCCACUAUGGAUCUCGGAAAGAUUAAGAGAGGGUGGAUCAACUUAAAUAAAAAAUACGUAUACAGCCUGAUAAUAUUCCUUUAAAAAACUGAAGUUAGGGUCUGUUCUAUUGGAAAAAUCUCUGUUUGUCGUAGAGGAAAAAAACUAUAAUUACAUUGCUUUUCUUAAACAGAUGUGAACUUUAAUGCCACCAUGGACUCCAUGUUGGAUUUUCGCAGUUUAGAACAGUCGCGUUAAGUAUACGUUACUAAUUAUCUACCAAAAAAGUUACCAUUGUACUUCCAAAAUCGAAAUAUUACACAAUUACGCAACCUGUUUGAUAAACUCCAUUAACAUAUUCAUCCAAUUACUUAAGUAUUUUAGGAUAUUUUAGCGUGGGGAGUAAAAAAAUUUUAAUUUUCAAAACCUGUGCCAAACGUAUUCAGUGACUAUCCAUAACAGAUUAAUGAAUAUUCACUUGAUGCAGGGUGAAAUAGACGAAAAACGAGCACGUGGCAGCGAACUGUUUCGAUGUGCGGUUUCCAAGGUGAACCUCCGAAGAUUUGUCUUAGUAUUAAGGCUCUUUCAUGUUCUUUGAGCUUAGUUGCUAUUUUUCGUCAGGUCUCAAUGUAUCAAUGUAUUCUGGAAUGCGGUAAACUCCUGGUAUCCCAAACGGAAUUUUGUCUUUGACGGAUCGACAAUGUUGGAAGAUUUUUGGACAAGUCGUAAAUCUGGUUUUAACGUUAUAUUUCUGAUAUGUAUUCGGUGAUGUUUUGAUUGUAAGGAAGGACAACAGUAGCAUGUAAGGAAUGUAAUGUGGAAAUUAUUAGAGAAAAGGCGGAUGUAAAGUGUUUUAAUUCUGGGUUCAGUUACUCCGAUAGUGAGGUGACAAUGCAUUAAGGUUAGGUUUUCUGUAAACAGAAUGACGCGAUGUUAGGUUCGCUUUUCUAUUCCUAAGAAUAUCUAAGAAUGGGAGAUUAUUAUUUUCUAAUUCAAUGGUAAAACGUAUAUUAGGGUGUAUAGCGUUUAAAUGAUUAAGAAGACCCUAAGAAGAGAUUCUUGACAUCAACGUAGCGUUUCCAUAAUUUUUUAUUUCAAAUGACAGGUGUCGACGGCUUUCUUCUCAAAGGCUUCCAAAAUAUAUUUGCUAUCACUGACGUUUGUUUUCAGGAAUAGGGACUUUAGUAAAGAAGGAUUCUAAGUCGAAACUAACCGGAAUAUUGUUUGGAUCGUUUUUAGUUGUUCAAUAAAAUGAAAGGAAUUAAGUACCAAACUAUGUAAGUUUCUUUGAAAAAUUUUCAGGGUAUUUCAUGGUCUAAAAUCUUUUCAAUUCAAGUUCAAUAUAGCGGGCUCUAAAAUUCAGUACUUAAAUUUAAUCGAAUAUGUAAUCUAUCAUCGAGCAUCAAUCACUUUACAUGUGUGUUUUCUAGUCCAGAUUGAUGUUGAAUGCAUGACGUAUUGGAAUAUUUUUCUAAAAAAUUUGUUAUCCAAUUUAAAGGAAAGUUCUGAAGAGCUUUUCAUAGAAUUUAUAUGAGUGAGAAAAUCGAAGGCCCUACUCAACCCAUUAAUAAUAUAAAUAAUAAAAAAAAGAAAUUCCCACGUUAGAAAAUUUGAUAGACCCGGCCCUGCAUAAAACUCCAAUGAAAGUUUGGUCGCAUUUUUUCACCUAGAUUUCACAAUACGUUUAUAUCUCUAGGACAAACAUUUUGUGACAAGGACACGCGUUUUUGUGACAUUUCAAAUUGUACUGUUAUUUUAAAUACGGAGCCUUGAAUCGAAUUGCACGGAACAUUUUUCUUAUGGGAGUGUUUCGACGCAGGCCGGCAGCCUGACACUGGCUGCUUAUAUUUAUAAAACAUAUCGAUUUUUGGGCAAACUCUCUUAUAUCGUAAAAAAGUUGGGCGUUGGUUAGAUACGCGAAUCCGGGCCUACUAUAUUGCCGGGCAAAGAUUGUUUUGCGAAUAGUCUCCUACCCGUUUAGCAUUUGGCAAUAAGUAAUAAAUCAGAUCGUCGCGAUUGGUUAUUAGAAAGUCCCAAAAACGCCAAAUUUUUCAUUUUUUAAUAGAGUUUUUUUUUUAAUUUCGUGAUGAAUUUUAAAAAUGAAAAAAAAAACCUCACUUAUUUGUAUGUAUUUUCCGAACUCACUAGAGAGAAGUUUAUGCACUGAUGAGGUGUGCACAAAGUAUUAUUUUAAAUUAUCAUUUUUGUUAAACUCUAGCCCGAGCUAUUUAGAGAGUUUCCGGCACUUUAGUCACGGGUUGAGAGCGAUCGGAUAUUUUCGGUAGAUUAUAGGACAUUGGACAUUUGUCGCAUGAUGGUCGCAUUACACUGUCGUCGUACUAUUUACUACACUCAGAAAAUUUUUUUUUCAAAUGCAUAAAAAAAUCACCUUGUAAUACAAAUUAUCUCUUCUACAAUCUAGCUAAUUAAAAUAUAAUGUUUUAGGUACUUUUGAAAAUAUUUUGAUACUGAUUUGUUAAUAAAUUAUUAGAUUAGCCACUUUAGGAUAUCAACGAUUUUCUUUUGUCCUUUAUUUAAUAUAUUGCGUAAGUGUUUUAAACGGAAUUAGGUUACGUUAUCUUAUAAUAAGACUACAUUAAUCAAACUUGAACGUUUAUAUUUUAAGGGCGGUCUGAUGUUACUCUUAAAAGAUUUUUUUAACAUUUUAAAAAGAAAAGGAUAACGUUAACGGAAAAAAAGUCUUUCCAUACAAUUAUGUUAACUAUAAUUUGAAUGGCUUCUUUUUCAAUCGAAAGGCAGACAAUAAUUUUGUUUUAAUGAGAAUAAGUAAUAAAAAUUAUCAGGUACGUGUUAGUUUCAGGAUGACAUAGAAUCACAUAGCGUGUUAUUGAUUUAUUAAAAAGCACCAAUGAAGCAAAAUCAUAUUUAAUUUUGAUCAGCGUGAGCGUUUUUUUUACAGCAGUUUUUUUCUUAGUGUACAGCUAACCAUUAUAACCCAUGUGUUUAUAAUUGUGCACAAUGAUCAAUUAACUGUACCCAAGCCGUUUUAACGGACGUUUUUUAUUAAAGAACUUUAUUAGCCACAAGCCACUUUGUGCUUUUCCGAGACUUUUUUUAGUCACAGGUUGGGAGCGAUUGUACGUUUUCGGUAGAUUUACAAUUCUGAUGGUAUCACGUCACACGUCGCUCAGGGAAUGUUUUAGUGCUGUUUUACAGAAAUGUCUCUAAUGUUCGUGGAAACAGUAUAGGAUGCGACAUAUAGAUAAACUUCGCUUUUAUUCGUUAUUCGCCCUUUAGGCACUAGCGAAUCGCAGUGGAGCGAGUGCCUAAAAAUAAACACAAACUUUAAUCCAGCCACAACCGCAUGUUAGGUAAGACUUAAAAAUAGUUAAUAAUAACAACAAAAAAGUAACGUACUAUCAUGAACAUAAACAUUGAGAAAUAAAAAAGCACGUUCACGACAUUGAGACUCAUCGAUAAUUUUUUUAAUGUUUGCAGUAUAAUUUGAUAUAACCAUUCAAAUACAAUUAUAGAUUUUUUUGUUGAAUUGUUUAUGUUUAAUAUUAUUUCAAUUAGAUUUUUUGUGGAAUUUUGAAGCUUCUCUGAUUUUUUAAAAUUAAAAUCGUUGUGAGAGCUACCAGAAAUUCCUCGGCGAGCUACCGGUAGCUCGCGAUCGGCAGGUUGGCGACCGCUGGUUUAGAGCAACGACGUAAAAUAGAGCGGAAUGAUGACGUAUUUUUAAAUGAAUAAAUAUUUAAUAUUAUAUAUUAAAAGACCUAAAUUAAAUUUAAGCAAAUUUUUGCUUAUCGAAAAGUUGUGCAACUACAUAAUUUAAUUGUGAGUAGACAAAAGGUAUAAACCAGAAAUUUUUAACUAGAUUCAAGUACCUGCUUUGGUAUAUAGGUAGCAUUUUAUUAUUGUUAAUUUCCUUUGUUCUGUUCAGUAUUUUCAUAUGAAUUGUAUACAAUCUGUAAAAAACAAUAUUAAUGAAAUUAACUUAUUUUUUCUAGUUCUAGAUUUCAAGUUAAAUUCUAUGAAAUGCGUAUAUAAUUAAUUAAAAUAAAUUAUUUUAUACAAUGUCAGAUAGUUUUAUUCAUUCUAUACAGCGCGUAUUCGGAAGUUCUUAACAAAUAGAAAAAAUUUUAUAUAGUAACCGCCUUCUCCUGAAAAGUCCUGCUUAAAUUAAAUUAAA